This is a long non-coding RNA of Zingiber officinale, 316 nucleotides long. RefSeq lists it as uncharacterized. The record is from RefSeq and is a predicted model, not a curated record. The transcript is spliced from 3 exons. NCBI's taxonomy places the organism in Eukaryota, Viridiplantae, Streptophyta, Magnoliopsida, Zingiberales, Zingiberaceae.
UUCACAGCCGCCAGCCACCGAGCACCUUCGAUUACUGCCAUCGUGCCCUAGCUACCCACCGGCGUCGCACGGAGCAGCGUCGCCUCUCGCUGUGCCGCCUCUCCGCUGUUCUUGAUCAUUCCUUCUUUGUGGUGAAGUUAGGUCACAGUUGGGUGGGGAAAAGAUUUUCCGUAGGGUUUGCUUUACUGUGGAUUUAUUCUAAUUCCAGCAGCAACUAUCUCUUGGCGUUGGAUCAGUGAUUACAGCUGUGGAAUUUAAGGACUUUGACGCGAGACGAGUAUCUCGGAGUCAGAUUGGACCUUUCUAUUUUCGGAGG